This 520-nucleotide ribosomal RNA is filed under the name uncultured bacterium. RNAcentral's name for it is "bacterial SSU rRNA". It matches the Rfam family "Archaeal small subunit ribosomal RNA", at positions 345 to 866 of the family's 1478-position model. The record is from RNAcentral.
AACCUCCGCAAUGUACGAAAGUGCGACGGGGGGAUCCCAAGUGUUAUGCUUUUUUGUAUAACUUUUCAUUAGUGUAAAAAGCUUUUAGAAUAAGAGCUGGGCAAGACCGGUGCCAGCCGCCGCGGUAACACCGGCAGCUCGAGUGGUAGCUGUUUUUAUUGGGCCUAAAGCGUUCGUAGCCGGUUUGAUAAGUCUUUGGUGGAAGCUUGUAGCUUAACUAUAAGAAUUGCUGGAGAUACUAUCAGACUUGAAGUCGGGAGAGGUUAGAGGUACUACCGGGGUAGGGGUGAAAUCCUAUAAUCCUGGGAGGACCACCUGUGGCGAAGGCGUCUAACUGGAACGAUCUUGACGGUGAGUAACGAAAGCCAGGGGCGCGAACCGGAUUAGAUACCGGGUAGUCCUGGCCGUAAACGAUGUGGACUUGGUGUUGGAAUGGCUUUGAGUUGUUCCGGUGCCGAAGGGAAGCUGUUAAGUCCACCGCCUGGGAAGUACGGUCGCAAGACUGGAACUUAAAGGAAUU